This 141-nucleotide small nuclear RNA is filed under the name Saimiri boliviensis boliviensis (Bolivian squirrel monkey). RNAcentral's name for it is "U4 spliceosomal RNA (ENSSBOG00000002239.1)". It matches the Rfam family "U4 spliceosomal RNA". Rfam says of the family: U4 small nuclear RNA (U4 snRNA) is a component of the major U2-dependent spliceosome. Lineage: Eukaryota; Metazoa; Chordata; Mammalia; Primates; Cebidae. The record is from Rfam by way of RNAcentral.
AGUUUUGCACGGUGGCAGUAUUGUAGCCAAUGAGGUUUAUCCAAGGCACGAUUACUGCUAACUGAAAACUUUUCCCAAUACCCUGCCAUGACGACUUGAAAUAUAGUCAGCACUGGCAAUUUUUGACAGUCUCUACGGAGA